UUCAUAAUCCAUAACAACCGCUAAUCAAUCUAUUAGGUUUCGGAAACCUAAAUAUGCGACUAUAUAAACCUCUCUAGAGCAGCAGAGCUUCUUCUUCCACUCCUUCUCCUUCGCCCUCUUAAUCUUUUUGUUAAUUUAUUUUUAUUAAUUUUUUGGUUUCUGUUUGGAAUUUGGAUUAAUAAAAGUAUUGCAGAUGUGUGACUUUCUCAUCAUGAGUUUUGAUUUGUUUUGAUUUUUUAGAUAUCCUGGCUUGGGUAUUUUGCAUUUCUCAAUAACAACACCAGAAUCAUCAUCAAUUGAAAAUUCCUGGCUAGAAAACUCAUCCAAGGACCAAGAUUUUUGUUGGUUGAGGACAUAGCAUGAAAAAAAUUCAGCAUCCAUUUCAGGUAAAUCAUUUAAAUCAACACGGGAUAUCCAUCUCUAACUGACCUGUGAUUGUUGUACAGUGAUGAUAUUGUGUGACAGUUUGAUAAUGAUGCAUUACCUAAUAUCAAUGUAGAGUUAAGAAAUACUAUUGGCUAAUAUUUUGUUGCAUUGCCUUUCAACAAUUUUACACAGUUUUGCUAGCUUACCAAUUCGCCUUAAUUUUGGUUUGGAUCAAUUUUGUACACGAGCUCGAUCUAAUGGACUGUUUGCUGCCGACAUGAACAGGAAAUGAAGAGUGUAUGGUUUCCUAUAGUACUAAAAAUACCCAAGCCUAUAAUUUACUAAUCAAGCAGGAUUUUUUGAGGUUUCCUGUUUCAUUUCAUGAUAUUUUUAGUUCUGUAGGAAACCAUACACUCUUCGAUAUGAACUAUGAAGUGGUUGACACGUAACAUACAAAAUUUGUGAUUGAAGAGAAAGGAAAGGUCAGUGUAAUGUGCGUAUGUACCAUUUUUCUUUAUAUGGUGAUGUAUCUACCGUUAGUUUUUGAAUUAGUUGGCAUGUGUCCAUUGCUCCCAAAACAGUAAGACUCCCGAAACAAGGCAUUACGUAAUUAAAAGUUUCCAUGCAGGUCUAUAAACUAUUGCCAUCGAAUUUUGAUAUUUACUCUAUAGUUGUCUACUGUUAUAGUCUUAAUUCUUUGGUUUUGGUCAAAGAACAUAAACUUCCAAGUUUCAGGACAACAAAUGUCCACACUGAAUCACAUUACUGCCUAGGCUAAAUUAGAGAUGCCCUUUGACAUCUAUAGUGGAACAUUGUUGAUGAAACUUGAAUCUUAUGCUUUUACAUGUCGAUGUGGCACAGCACCAUGCGUUAUAUCUUCCUCAUGCAAGAGUAUGUUCGUCCGCAAGGGAAAGUAUGUUCAUGCGAAGGUAUGUAAUUCGCCCCCAUCCAACUAUUGCUUUAAACUACAAAAUCGUGGUUUCAAAUUUCAUCUAUCUAUGUAGCCAUAUUAUGAACUAAAACCUUAUUGCAUUAAUUUCUUUCUUACAAAAAGGUUAUUGUCAGGUAUUGAUUAAAGUUUGGCUACAAAAGUUGAUCGCAAGUCUGUUGCACAGUGUAAACUGCUACUUCUUAAAGAACCCUUUUGUGUCAUAAAUAUGUCUUUGUUUUCUACACUAAAUAUCUCUCUCGAUGUACAUGGUUGCAGGUGCUAAACCAAUUUUUGAUUUGUAAUUGUAAGGUCAUUCGAUUCUUUUUUUUCUUUUUUUGUAUACGGAAGCAUCUAAGGCUAAUUAUUUUCUUAAGUUUAUCUAUUGAGAGAUGGCUGGGGACAUACUUUCUGAUGGAGAUGGGUUGAGAGGAUUUUAAAUCAUAUUGGUGAUGUCUGCUCUAGCUGCUAAGAGCGUUUCGCACGCUCCCGUGUAACUUAUAAGCUAAGGGUGAAGGCGUUAGAUAAAUGUUUGACCCAUUUUUCUCCUUUUUUUCUUCGGUCAACCGUAAAAUGUAACAUUGCUGGAAGAAUGUGGCAGCCGUCCACUGCAUGAAAUACUUGAGGAAUGUUUUUUUUUUCUUUUUCUGUAUCACAUUACUUGGGACAGGGAGUAUAAUUUCUCUUCAUCAAUUUCGGUUACCCGAACAUACCAUUUGCUAAUGGAAAUGAAAUGAGGAUUUUAUUGUGUGCUAA
Papaver somniferum (opium poppy) is the source of this 2050-nucleotide long non-coding RNA. RefSeq lists it as uncharacterized. The record is from RefSeq and is a predicted model, not a curated record. The transcript has 2 exons. NCBI's taxonomy places the organism in Eukaryota, Viridiplantae, Streptophyta, Magnoliopsida, Ranunculales, Papaveraceae.